Molecule: ribosomal RNA, 450 nt
Filed under: uncultured bacterium
Lineage: Bacteria
Description: partial 16S ribosomal RNA
Rfam family: Bacterial small subunit ribosomal RNA
Source: RNAcentral
GUGGGGAAUAUUGGACAAUGGGCGAAAGCCUGAUCCAGCCAUGCCGCGUGUGUGAAGAAGGUCUUCGGAUUGUAAAGCACUUUAAGUUGGGAGGAAGGGCAGUAAGUUAAUACCUUGCUGUUUUGACGUUACCGACAGAAUAAGCACCGGCUAACUUCGUGCCAGCAGCCGCGGUAAUACGAAGGGUGCAAGCGUUAAUCGGAAUUACUGGGCGUAAAGCGCGCGUAGGUGGUUUUGUAAGUUGGAGGUGAAAUCCCCGGGCUCAACCUGGGAACUGCCUCCAAAACUGCAUGACUAGAGUACGGUAGAGGGUAGUGGAAUUUCCUGUAUAGCGGUGAAAUGCGUAGAUAUAGGAAGGAACGCCAGUGGCGAAGGCGACUACCUGGACUGAUACUGACACUGAGGUGCGAAAGCGUGGGGAGCAAACAGGAUUAGAUACCCUUGUAGUCC